GCGCCCGUAGCUCAACUGGAUAGAGUACUUGACUACGAAUCAAGCGGUUGGAGGUUCGAAUCCUCCCGGGCGCGCCA
RNAcentral lists this transfer RNA (77 nucleotides) under Micavibrio sp. RNAcentral's name for it is "tRNA-Arg". It matches the Rfam family "tRNA". Rfam says of the family: Transfer RNA (tRNA) molecules are approximately 80 nucleotides in length. Their secondary structure includes four short double-helical elements and three loops (D, anti-codon, and T loops). The record is from RNAcentral. Lineage: Bacteria; Pseudomonadati; Bdellovibrionota; Bdellovibrionia; Bdellovibrionales; Pseudobdellovibrionaceae.